Pelobates cultripes (western spadefoot toad) is the source of this 232-nucleotide non-coding RNA. NCBI's taxonomy places the organism in Eukaryota, Metazoa, Chordata, Amphibia, Anura, Pelobatidae. The record is from the annotation of a GenBank genome assembly.
GUAUGUAUGUAUGUGUGUGUAAGUCAGUAUGCGUAUGUAUGCAUGUCUGUCUGUGUGUAUUUCAAUAUGUAUGUAUAUGUUCGUGUCUGUCUGUUUGUUUGUGUGUGUGUGUAUUUAUGUCCUUAUGCGUGUGUGUGCAGUGUGCAUUGGAAUUCAUUAAUAUUGUUUAUUGUCCGGCCCCCAACAGUGUCUGAGGGACUGGAUUAAUAUUUCUCCUUCUUCAAGCUUGAUA